UAGGGAAUCUUCCGCAAUGGGCGAAAGCCUGACGGAGCAACGCCGCGUGAGUGAUGAAGGUCUUCGGAUCGUAAAACUCUGUUAUUAGGGAAGAACAAAUGUGUAAGUAACUAUGCACGUCUUGACGGUACCUAAUCAGAAAGCCACGGCUAACUACGUGCCAGCAGCCGCGGUAAUACGUAGGUGGCAAGCGUUAUCCGGAAUUAUUGGGCGUAAAGCGCGCGUAGGCGGUUUUUUGAGUCUGAUGUGAAAGCCCACGGCUCAACCGUGGAGGGUCAUUGGAAACUGGAAAACUUGAGUGCAGAAGAGGAAAGUGGAAUUCCAUGUGUAGCGGUGAAAUGCGCAGAGAUAUGGAGGAACACCAGUGGCGAAGGCGACUUUUUGGUCUGUAACUGACGCUAAUGUGCGAAAGCGUGGGGAUCAAACAGG
RNAcentral lists this ribosomal RNA (429 nucleotides) under Actinomycetes bacterium. Its description in RNAcentral is "Actinobacteria bacterium partial 16S ribosomal RNA". It matches the Rfam family "Bacterial small subunit ribosomal RNA", at positions 355 to 776 of the family's 1533-position model. The record is from RNAcentral. Lineage: Bacteria; Bacillati; Actinomycetota; Actinomycetes.